This 559-nucleotide ribosomal RNA is filed under the name uncultured bacterium. RNAcentral's name for it is "partial 16S ribosomal RNA". It matches the Rfam family "Bacterial small subunit ribosomal RNA", at positions 355 to 902 of the family's 1533-position model. The record is from RNAcentral.
UGGGGAAUAUUGGGCAAUGGGGGCAACCCUGAUCCAGCCAUGCCGCGUGUGUGAAGAAGGCCUUUUGGUUGUAAAGCACUUUAAGCAGGGAGGAGAGGCUAAUGGUUAAUACCCAUUAGAUUAGACGUUACCUGCAGAAUAAGCACCGGCUAACUCUGUGCCAGCAGCCGCGGUAAUACAGAGGGUGCGAGCGUUAAUCGGAAUUACUGGGCGUAAAGCGAGUGUAGGUGGCUCAUUAAGUCACAUGUGAAAUCCCCGGGCUUAACCUGGGAACUGCAUGUGAUACUGGUGGUGCUAGAAUAUGUGAGAGGGAAGUAGAAUUCCAGGUGUAGCGGUGAAAUGCGUAGAGAUCUGGAGGAAUACCGAUGGCGAAGGCAGCUUCCUGGCAUAAUAUUGACACUGAGAUUCGAAAGCGUGGGUAGCAAAACAGGAUUAGAUACCCUGGUAGUCCACGCCGUAAAACGAUGUCUACUAGCCGUUGGGGUCCUUGAGACUUUAGUGGCGCAGUUAACGCGAUAAGUAGACCGCCUGGGGAGUACGGCCGCAAGGUUAAAAACUU